RNAcentral lists this ribosomal RNA (497 nucleotides) under uncultured bacterium. RNAcentral describes it as "partial 16S ribosomal RNA". It matches the Rfam family "Bacterial small subunit ribosomal RNA", at positions 28 to 507 of the family's 1533-position model. The record is from RNAcentral.
GAUGAACGCUGGCGGCGUGUCUAAUACAUGCAAGUCGAGCGAACGGACGAGAAGCUUGCUUCUCUGAUGUUAGCGGCGGACGGGUGAGUAACACGUGGAUAACCUACCUAUAAGACUGGGAUAACUUCGGGAAACCGGAGCUAAUACCGGAUAAUAUUUUGAACCGCAUGGGUCAAAAGUGAAAGACGGUCUUGCUGUCACUUAUAGAUGGAUCCGCGCUGCAUUAGCUAGUUGGGAAGGUAACGGCUUACCAAGGCAACGAUGCAUAGCCGACCUGAGAGGGUGAUCGGCCACACUGGAACUGAGACACGCUCCAGACUCCUACGGGAGGCAGCAGUCGGGAAUCGUCCGCAAUGGGCGAAAGCCUGACGGAGCAACGCCGCGUGAGUGAUGACGGUCUUCGGAUCGUAAAACUCUGUUAUUAGGGAAGAACAUAUGUGUAAGUAACUGUGCACAUCUUGACGGUACCUAAUCAGAAAGCCACGGCUAACUACGUG